UCGCCUACGGGGGGCAGCAGUGGGGAAUAUUGGACAAUGGGGGAAACCCUGAUCCAGCGACGCCGCGUGAGUGAAGAAGUAUUUCGGUAUGUAAAGCUCUAUCAGCAGGGAAGAAAAUGACGGUACCUGACUAAGAAGCCCCGGCUAACUACGUGCCAGCAGCCGCGGUAAUACGUAGGGGGCAAGCGUUAUCCGGAUUUACUGGGUGUAAAGGGAGCGUAGACGGCAUUGCAAGUCUGAUGUGAAAGAUUGGGGCUCAACCCCAGGCCUGCAUUGGGAACUGCCAUGCUAGAGUGCUGGAGAGG
Molecule: ribosomal RNA, 305 nt
Filed under: uncultured bacterium
Lineage: Bacteria
Description: bacterial SSU rRNA
Rfam family: Bacterial small subunit ribosomal RNA
Source: RNAcentral